GGGGGGCAUGUGAUUUUAGGAGAGGCAUUUACACAUCAAGCACAAACCAAGAGAAAGGAUGAGGCUAUCACUGGCUCGGCCAGCAUUUCUUGCUGCGUUUACCCAGUGGGCAGUUAAGAAUCAACCACGUUGCUCUAGGUCUGGAGUCCCAUGCAGACCAGACCAGAUCGCAGUGAUCAAUGCCAAAGCCCCAUUGCCUGUGGAGAGGGUGAUGUUUGAUUUCCCUGUCCAGCUGCAAUUCAUGUGGUGAAGGUGCUCCCACAAUGUGGUUGGGUGGACAUUCAGAUGGUAAUCUCAGUAAUUGUAACGCCAAACUGUGACAAAAUUACUCAAUUCAUCAGGAGCUGGAUAUUCACAUUGUGUGGUGCUAGACGGUGAAGAUUUGCAGACUGAAAUCUCAAAAUCAUGUGCAGAUUGUGAUUAAGUUGCCUAGUGCUUAAAGAACCAAAGAUGGAGAAUGACUCUGCCAAAAUCCUGCAACACUCUCCCUCCCAGCAUUGUCAGUCUAUCUAUGCCAAAUGGACUGCGAAUGGUUCAAGACAGCAGCUCACUACCAUCUUCUCAAGGGUAACUGGAGAUAGGGAAUAAAUGCUGGCUGAGCCAGUGAUGCCCAUAUCCUGGAAACGGUUGCUAUCUCUAGUUGCUGAAACCCAGUUGAUGUUACUGCAGGAUGAUGAGGGAUGCUGAGUGCAUCCUCCAGGAGGCAGCACCAUCACAUUACCCCUGCCUACACCCACACAGUAACACCGCAACAUCACUGGAACAAAAGGCAGUGAAGCCAAAGGAGGACUUAGAUAUAGUUCUUCGAGGUAGAGUCAUGAAAGGGGAUUGGAACACAGCAGGAAC
Hemiscyllium ocellatum (epaulette shark) is the source of this 846-nucleotide long non-coding RNA. RefSeq lists it as uncharacterized. The record is from RefSeq and is a predicted model, not a curated record. NCBI's taxonomy places the organism in Eukaryota, Metazoa, Chordata, Chondrichthyes, Orectolobiformes, Hemiscylliidae. The transcript has 5 exons.